Molecule: non-coding RNA, 109 nt
Organism: Tulasnella sp. 424
Lineage: Eukaryota; Fungi; Basidiomycota; Agaricomycetes; Cantharellales; Tulasnellaceae
Source: the annotation of a GenBank genome assembly
GGCCGUCUGGCGCAAUGGCAGCGCGUCCGCCUACGAUAAGCAGCCCCCUUCGGGGUUUGAACCUGCUUAGGUAAGCGGGAGGUUGCAGGUUCAACCCCUGCGUCGGUCA